RNAcentral lists this ribosomal RNA (508 nucleotides) under uncultured bacterium. RNAcentral's name for it is "partial 16S ribosomal RNA". It matches the Rfam family "Bacterial small subunit ribosomal RNA", at positions 28 to 523 of the family's 1533-position model. The record is from RNAcentral.
GAUGAACGCUAGCUACAGGCUUAACACAUGCAAGUCGAGGGGAAACGACAUCGAAAGCCUGCUUUUGAUAGGCGUCGACCGGCGCACGGGUGAGUAACGCGUAUCCAACCUGCCCACCACUUGGGGAUAACCUUGCGAAAGUAAGACUAAUACCCAAUGACGUCUCUAGAAGACAUCUGAAGGAGAUUAAAGAUUUAUCGGUGAUGGAUGGGGAUGCGUCUGAUUAGCUUGUUGGCGGGGUAACGGCCCACCAAGGCGACGAUCAGUAGGGGUUCUGAGAGGAAGGUCCCCCACAUUGGAACUGAGACACGGUCCAAACUCCUACGGGAGGCAGCAGUGAGGAAUAUUGGUCAAUGGGCGAGAGCCUGAACCAGCCAAGUAGCGUGCAGGAUGACGGCCCUAUGGGUUGUAAACUGCUUUUAUAAGGGAAUAAAGUGAGUCUCGUGAGACUUUUUGCAUGUACCUUAUGAAUAAGGACCGGCUAAUUCCGUGCCAGCCGCCGCAGUAA